GGGCUCCAGUGAUCUGGCUGCAACGUCUGUCACCCCAUUGAUCGCCAGAGUUGACUCAGCUGAUCUGGCUGGCUAGGCUGUGUCCCCUUCCUCCCUCACCACUCCAUGUGUGUCCCUCCCGAAGCUGCAUGCUCAGUUGAAGAGGACAGCCUUCCCCGAAUAGAGACAGACCAGUCUUCGGUCGAGGUUAUAUGAGUAGCUGAGCUCCCCUGUUAGAACCUCCAAACAAGCUUUCUAGAUAAAAUUAUGUUAAAUCACAUAUUGUUAGAUUAUAUCACGCUUACUAGAUCACCGUGGGCCCUA
Molecule: small nuclear RNA, 303 nt
Filed under: Sorex araneus (European shrew)
Lineage: Eukaryota; Metazoa; Chordata; Mammalia; Eulipotyphla; Soricidae
Description: 7SK RNA (ENSSARG00000017800.1)
Rfam family: 7SK RNA
About the family: 7SK was discovered as an abundant small nuclear RNA in the mid-70s but a possible function has only recently been suggested. Two independent studies have found that 7SK RNA binds the CDK9/cyclin T complex (known as elongation factor P-TEFb).
Source: RNAcentral